CCCUUCGAUGUUCUGGGCCGCACGCGUGCUACACUGAGUGGAUCAGCGGGUCAGGUUGCGCGAAAGUGUUUCCUAAUCUUGAAAUCCGCUCGUGAUGGGGAUUGACGGUUGCAAUUUUCUGUCAUGAACGAGGAAUACCUUGUAAGCGCGGGUCAUCAUCCCGCGCUGAAUACGUCCCUGCCCUUUGUACACACCGCCCGUCGCUCCUACCGAUUGAGUGGUCCGGUGAGGCUUUGGGAUCUGGAUGGAAAGAGCGUUUCGCUGUUUCUGCCCGGAAAACUCAGUCGAACCUUAUCAUUUAGAGGAAGGAGAAGUCGUAACA
This 322-nucleotide ribosomal RNA is filed under the name uncultured eukaryote. RNAcentral describes it as "partial 18S ribosomal RNA". It matches the Rfam family "Eukaryotic small subunit ribosomal RNA", at positions 1470 to 1796 of the family's 1831-position model. The record is from RNAcentral.